Grus americana (Whooping crane) is the source of this 310-nucleotide long non-coding RNA. RefSeq lists it as uncharacterized. Lineage: Eukaryota; Metazoa; Chordata; Aves; Gruiformes; Gruidae. The record is from RefSeq and is a predicted model, not a curated record. The transcript is spliced from 5 exons.
GGUGGGGCGCAAGGACGGCAGCCCAAAACGACGGAGGCCAGGUGCCGCAGGGAGCCUCGGAGGGGCGAAGCCGCGUGCCGACGAGCGUUCCGAGAAGGGGCUGUGCGGCCGCCUUUUGGACCGGAUGUCCGUUUGAGGUGCCACGAGGGAUGACGGCUGCAGGGUCAGUCUCUGGACCGAGCAGGUGAAGAGGGUCCAGACGACUGCAGGAAGAUCCCAGUUAGCCGAUGCACGAUGCGCGUGUUGUUCGUUGUGGACGGAUUCAGAUCCUCGGCCCUCUGAAAGCUAAGUCGAGGGACCGGGGCCAGGG